UGGCUUUCUUUCUCUAUCACCCUUCUCCCCUCUUGACUUCUGGCUGUCUCUAUCCAAUAAGGAUAACAAAAUUAAAAUAAAAAAAAUUAAAUUCCUUCCCAAUAACUGUUUAUUAGCUGGAUUUUCCAGAAAAGCAAAUGGCAUUAGCCCCUAAUUCUUGAUGCCAUAGCACAUCUUUUUACUUUUAUGAGACAACAGAACCAGCCACCACUCAGCCAGAGCACAGGCGGUUCUAUGGGGCACAAACCCAGGAUGUUACACAUGCAAGUCCGGCCGGGGCUCUACUGCUGACCAAUCCCCCCCACAUCUAUGUAUGCAUGUGUGGCCAGGUUCUCAAGCAUGAAUGGCUCCACUAUUCCAGUCGCCAGCUCGUCAGCUCAGGCCUUCACGCAUGAGGAGGUACACACCGUAGCAGGGUUUAAGAGACCACCACAGCACUGAAGCUUCCUUCAAUGCAGUGGGGUCAAGCACAUGGCAAAGUGAGCUAUUCUGCUGGCCUUCCUUUUACUAUAUAGUUAAGGCCUCCUAGGGAAUUUGGCUUAAUACUUAAAAUUGAAGGUAGAAAACAAAAGCAAUUAUUUUCCAAAAGCACUGUUCUUUAUUUAUAUAGUGUCAUCACCACUUGUGGCAGAAGAGUUCUUUUUUCAAGGGCCUCCACAAUGUCGAUCUGUUGUUACCAAAUGCACAGGUGGGUAGACCACACUGUUCAGUCUCUCUCUGCUAGAGCGACAAGG
Molecule: long non-coding RNA, 734 nt
Organism: Erinaceus europaeus (western European hedgehog)
Lineage: Eukaryota; Metazoa; Chordata; Mammalia; Eulipotyphla; Erinaceidae
Exons: 2
Source: RefSeq, a predicted model, not a curated record